ACAGUGAUAGUUCAGUGGUAGAAUUCUUGCCUUCCAUGCAAGAGACCUGGUUCAACUCCUGGCCAAUGUA
Molecule: transfer RNA, 70 nt
Filed under: Loxodonta africana (African savanna elephant)
Lineage: Eukaryota; Metazoa; Chordata; Mammalia; Proboscidea; Elephantidae
Rfam family: tRNA
About the family: Transfer RNA (tRNA) molecules are approximately 80 nucleotides in length. Their secondary structure includes four short double-helical elements and three loops (D, anti-codon, and T loops). Further hydrogen bonds mediate the characteristic L-shaped molecular structure. tRNAs have two regions of fundamental functional importance: the anti-codon, which is responsible for specific mRNA codon recognition, and the 3' end, to which the tRNAs corresponding amino acid is attached (by aminoacyl-tRNA synthetases). tRNAs cope with the degeneracy of the genetic code in two manners: having more than one tRNA (with a specific anti-codon) for a particular amino acid; and 'wobble' base-pairing, i.e. permitting non-standard base-pairing at the 3rd anti-codon position.
Source: Rfam by way of RNAcentral